CGGUGAAUACGUUCCCGGACCUUGCACACACCGCCCGUCAAGCCAUGGAAGUGGGGUGUACCUUAAGACGAUCACCGUAAGGAAUUGUCCAAGGUAAAACUCGUAACUGGGGCU
This 114-nucleotide ribosomal RNA is filed under the name uncultured bacterium. Its description in RNAcentral is "partial 16S ribosomal RNA". It matches the Rfam family "Bacterial small subunit ribosomal RNA", at positions 1360 to 1482 of the family's 1533-position model. The record is from RNAcentral.